AGAGUUUGAUCAUGGCUCAAGAUGAACGCUAGCGGCAGGCUUAACACAUGCAAGUCGAGGGGCAACAGGGGCAGCAAUGCUUGCUGGCGACCGGCGCACGGGUGAGUAACGCGUAUGCAACCUACCCAUAACAGGGGGAUAGCUCCCGGAAACGGAAAUUAACACCCCAUAGUAUUCUAAUGCCGCAUGGUAUAGGGAUUAAAACUACGGUGGUUAUGGAUGGGCAUGCGUGCCAUUAGCUAGUUGGCGGGGUAACGGCCCACCAAGGCUACGAUGGCUAGGGGGUCUAAAAGGAUGAUCCCCCACACUGGUACUGAGACACGGACCAGACUCCUACGGGAGGCAGCAGUGAGGAAUAUUGGUCAAUGGGCGGGAGCCUGAACCAGCCAUGCCGCGUGCAGGAAGACGGCCCUAUGGGUUGUAAACUGCUUUUUUAUGGGAAGAAAACGCCCUACGUGUAGGGCACUGACGGUACCAUAUGAAUAAGCAUCGGCUAACUCCGUGCCAGCAGCCGCGGUAAUACGGAGGAUGCGAGCGUUAUCCGGAUUUAUUAGGUUUAAAGGGUGUGUAGGCGGGCGAUUAAGUCAGUGGUGAAAUCUCACAGCUCAACUGUGAAACUGCCAUUGAUACUGGUUGCCUUGAGUACAGUUGAAGUAGGCGGAAUGUGUAAUGUAGCGGUGAAAUGCUUAGAUAUUACACAGAGCACCGAU
This 710-nucleotide ribosomal RNA is filed under the name uncultured Bacteroidota bacterium. RNAcentral describes it as "bacterial SSU rRNA". It matches the Rfam family "Bacterial small subunit ribosomal RNA", at positions 8 to 713 of the family's 1533-position model. Lineage: Bacteria; Pseudomonadati; Bacteroidota. The record is from RNAcentral.